RNAcentral lists this long non-coding RNA (264 nucleotides) under Lathyrus oleraceus (garden pea). RNAcentral's name for it is "Pisum sativum (pea) long non-coding RNA (PSAT_LNC029996)". Lineage: Eukaryota; Viridiplantae; Streptophyta; Magnoliopsida; Fabales; Fabaceae. The record is from RNAcentral.
AUGACUCUUUCUUUUCCCUACUUUGAUUUUUUCUCUUUCGCAUCGCAUAUAGGACUUUUAUACACACACUUUAGACAUAUAUAGCAAGCGUGGAUCCUAUGGAGUACCACAGACGUGAAGGGGUGCGAUAACCUUCUCUUCACGUAACCGGCCCCCUUACUCAGUUUUCUUUGGUUCGAGACUUUUUUUUAUUCGUUCCCUCUUGGUUAUGCAGUACUACCUUUCCCUCCUCUUGGGAUAAAAGUACAUAGUUGGCGACUCUAC